This 468-nucleotide ribosomal RNA is filed under the name uncultured bacterium. RNAcentral's name for it is "partial 16S ribosomal RNA". It matches the Rfam family "Bacterial small subunit ribosomal RNA", at positions 28 to 507 of the family's 1533-position model. The record is from RNAcentral.
GACGAACGCUGGCGGCGUGCUUAACACAUGCAAGUCGAACGGAAAGGCCCUGCUUUUGUGGGGUGCUCGAGUGGCGAACGGGUGAGUAACACGUGAGUAACCUGCCCUUGACUUUGGGAUAACUUCAGGAAACUGGGGCUAAUACCGGAUAGGAGCUCCUGCUGCAUGGUGGGGGUUGGAAAGUUUCGGCGGUUGGGGAUGGAAUCGCGGCUUAUCAGCUUGUUGGUUGGGUAGUGGCUUACCAAGGCUUUGACGGGUAGCCGGCCUGGGAGGGUGACCGGCCACAUUGGGACUGAGAUACGGCCCAGACUCCUACGGGAGGCAGCAGUGGGGAAUAUUGCACAAUGGGCGGAAGCCUGAUGCAGCAACGCCGCGUGCGGGAUGACGGCCUUCGGGUUGUAAACCGCUUUCGCCUGUGACGAAGCGUGAGUGACGGUAAUGGGUAAAGAAGCACCGGCUAACUACGUG